RNAcentral lists this ribosomal RNA (253 nucleotides) under uncultured bacterium. RNAcentral describes it as "partial 16S ribosomal RNA". It matches the Rfam family "Bacterial small subunit ribosomal RNA", at positions 524 to 776 of the family's 1533-position model. The record is from RNAcentral.
UACGGAGGAGGCAAGCGUUAUCCGGGAUUGUUGGGCGUAAAGCGUCCGCAGGUGGCACUUCAAGUCUGUCGUCAAAGACUGGGGCUUAACCCUGGAAAGGCGGUGGAAACUGAAGCGCUAGAGUGCGGUAGGGGUAGAGGGAAUUCCCGGUGUAGCGGUGAAAUGCGUAGAGAUCGGGAAGAACAUCGGUGGCGAAAGCGCUCUACUGGACCGCAACUGACACUCAGGGACGAAAGCUAGGGGAGCGAAUGGG